This 688-nucleotide ribosomal RNA is filed under the name uncultured fungus. Its description in RNAcentral is "eukaryotic LSU rRNA". The stretch from base 127 to 280 matches the Rfam family "5.8S ribosomal RNA". The record is from RNAcentral. Lineage: Eukaryota; Fungi.
AAUCCAUAUCCACCUUGUGUGCAAUGUUUGUUGGGAAAGUCUUUUCUUUCCCUUCAUAAAUACCAACCUAUAUCUUUAACAACAUUCGUCUGAUAACAUAUUAUGAAUAUACUUAAUUCAAAAUAUAACUUUCAACAACGGAUCUCUUGGCUCUCGCAUCGAUGAAGAACGCAGCGAAAUGCGAUACGUAAUGUGAAUUGCAGAAUUCAGUGAAUCAUCGAAUCUUUGAACGCAUAUUGCGCUCUUUGGUAUUCCGAAGAGCAUGCUUGUUUGAGUAUCAGUAAACACCUCAACCUCUCUUUUUGACAAAAAAAGGGAGGGUGGACUUGAGCUAUCCCAACGACCUUCACCGGUAGGCGGGCGGCUUGAAAUGCAGGUGCAGCUGGACUUUUAUCUGAGCUAAAAGCAUAUCUAUUUAGUCCUCGUCAAACAGGAUUAUUACUUUUGCUGCAGCUAACAUAAAGGAUAAUUGUCCUCUUUGCUGACUGAUGCAGGAUUUUACGACACUUUAUGUGUUGUUCAACUCGAUCUCAAAUCAAGUAAGACUACCCGCUGAACUUAAGCAUAUCAAUAAGCGGAGGAAAAGAAACUAACAAGGAUUCCCCUAGUAACGGCGAGUGAAGCGGGAUGAGCUCAAAUUUGAAAUCUGGCUGGUUUACUAGUCCGAGUUGUAAUUUAAAGAAGCGUU